ACAUGCAAGUCGAGCGAGAAACCACUUCGGUGGCGGACAGCGGCGAACGGGUGAGUAACACGUAGGUUACGUGCCCUUUGGUGGGGGAUAGCCCAGGGAAACCUGGAUUAAUACCGCAUAUGUCCUUCGGGAUGAAAGCCUUCGGGCGCCAAAGGAUCGGCCUGCGGCCCAUUAUUUAAUCCUGGAUGGUAAGGUAACGGCUUACCAUGGGUACGAUGGGUAGCUGGUCUGAGAGGAUGAUCAGCCACACUGGGACUGAGACACGGCCCAGACUCCUACGGGAGGCAGCAGUGGGGAAUAUUGGACAAUGGGCGAAAGCCUGAUCCAGUCAUGCCGCGUGUGUGAUGAAGGCCUUCGGGUUGUAAAGCACUGUCGGGAGGGAAGAAAGCUUCGGCUUGACGGUACCUCGCAAGAAAGCACCGGCUAACUCCGUGCCAGCAGCCGCGGUAAUACGGAGGGUGCAAGCGUUGCUCGGAAUUACUGGGCGUAAAGCGUACGCAGGCGGCCAAUUAAGUUGGAUGUGAAAGCCCUGGGCUCAACCCAGGAAUUGCAUUCAAAACUGGUUGGCUUGAGUGUGAGAGAGGGAAGUGGAAUUCCAGGUGUAGAGGUGAAAUUCGUUGAUAUCUGGAGGAACACCGGCGGCGAAGGCGGCUUCCUGGCUCACAACUGACGCUCAUGUACGAAAGCGUGGGUAGCAAACAGGAUUAGAUACCCUGGUAGUCCACGCCGUAAACGAUGUUUGCUAGGUGUUGGUGGAAUUUACCCCAUCAGUGCCGCAGUUAACGCAUUAAGCAAACCGCCUGGGGAGUACGGUC
This 815-nucleotide ribosomal RNA is filed under the name uncultured Pseudomonadota bacterium. RNAcentral's name for it is "bacterial SSU rRNA". It matches the Rfam family "Bacterial small subunit ribosomal RNA", at positions 53 to 887 of the family's 1533-position model. The record is from RNAcentral. Lineage: Bacteria; Pseudomonadati; Pseudomonadota.